This 787-nucleotide ribosomal RNA is filed under the name Cadophora sp. Its description in RNAcentral is "LSU rRNA". It matches the Rfam family "Eukaryotic large subunit ribosomal RNA", at positions 96 to 900 of the family's 3401-position model. Lineage: Eukaryota; Fungi; Ascomycota; Leotiomycetes; Helotiales; Ploettnerulaceae. The record is from RNAcentral.
AAGCGGUAACAGCUCAAAUUUGAAAGCUAGCUCUUUUAGGGCUCGCGUUGUAAUUUGUAGAAGAUGCUUCGAGUGUGGCCCUGGUCUAAGUUCCUUGGAACAGGACGUCAUAGAGGGUGAGAAUCCCGUAUGUGACUGGGUGCCUUCGCUCAUGUGAAGCUCUUUCGACGAGUCGAGUUGUUUGGGAAUGCAGCUCAAAAUGGGUGGUAAAUUUCAUCUAAAGCUAAAUAUUGGCCAGAGACCGAUAGCGCACAAGUAGAGUGAUCGAAAGAUGAAAAGCACUUUGGAAAGAGAGUUAAACAGUACGUGAAAUUGUUGAAAGGGAAGCGCUUGCAACCAGACUUGCACGCUGACGAUCAUCCGGGCUUCUGCCCGGUGCACUCGUCUGCGUUCAGGCCAGCAUCGGUUCUGGUGGUGGGAUAAAGGCCUUGGGAAUGUAGCUUCUUUCGGGGAGUGUUAUAGCCCUCGGUGCAAUGCCGCCUACCGGGACCGAGGACCGCGCUUCGGCUAGGAUGCUGGCGUAAUGGUUGUAAGCGACCCGUCUUGAAACACGGACCAAGGAGUCUAACAUCUAUGCGAGUGUUUGGGUGUUAAACCCAUACGCGUAAUGAAAGUGAACGGAGGUGAGAACCCUUAAGGGUGCAUCAUCGACCGAUCCUGAUGUCUUCGGAUGGAUUUGAGUAAGAGCAUAGCUGUUGGGACCCGAAAGAUGGUGAACUAUGCGUGAAUAGGGUGAAGCCAGAGGAAACUCUAGUGGAGGCUCGCAGCGGUUCUGACGUGCAAAUCG